UUUUUGGAGAGUUUGAUCCUGGCUCAGGACGAACGCUGGCGGCGUGCUUAACACAUGCAAGUCGAACGGGGUGUUUAUUUCGGUAAACACCAAGUGGCGAACGGGUGAGUAACGCGUAAGCAAUCUACCUUCAAGAUGGGGACAACACUUCGAAAGGGGUGCUAAUACCGAAUGAAUGAGAGAUGACCGCAUGGAUAUUUCUCUAAAGGAGGCCU
Molecule: ribosomal RNA, 215 nt
Filed under: Megamonas hypermegale
Lineage: Bacteria; Bacillati; Bacillota; Negativicutes; Selenomonadales; Selenomonadaceae
Description: partial 16S ribosomal RNA
Rfam family: Bacterial small subunit ribosomal RNA
Source: RNAcentral